CUACGGGAGGCAGCAGUGGGGAAUAUUGCACAAUGGAGGAAACUCUGAUGCAGCAACGCCGCGUGGAGGAUGACACUUUUCGGAGCGUAAACUCCUUUUAUAUAGGAAGAAGAUGACGGUACUAUAUGAAUAAGCGCCGGCUAACUCCGUGCCAGCAGCCGCGGUAAUACGGAGGGCGCAAGCGUUACUCGGAAUCACUGGGCGUAAAGAGCGUGUAGGCGGAUUAAAAAGUCAGAAGUGAAAUCCUAUAGCUUAACUAUAGAACUGCUUCUGAAACUCUUAAUCUAGAAUAUGGGAGAGGUAGAUGGAAUUUCUGGUGUAGGGGUAAAAUCCGUAGAGAUCAGAAGGAAUACCGAUUGCGAAGGCGAUCUACUAGAACAUUAUUGACGCUGAGACGCGAAAGUGUGGGGAGCAAACAGGAUUAGAUACCCUAGUAGUC
This 439-nucleotide ribosomal RNA is filed under the name uncultured bacterium. RNAcentral's name for it is "partial 16S ribosomal RNA". It matches the Rfam family "Bacterial small subunit ribosomal RNA", at positions 339 to 795 of the family's 1533-position model. The record is from RNAcentral.